GCCCGCGCAGCCCCGCCCCUGCGCGUCCCGCCCCGCGCGCGCCACCGCGCCUGCGUGCCAGGACCGUUGCGGCGGGGGAGGGGCCUCGGCCGCGUGGCGUCCAGUGGACCGCGGUACCUGCGGGCUGGGGCUGCCGCCUCCAAACGCGGGUUGGAGGUGGCCGGCUAAAAUGUCAGCUAAGAGGCAAAGACCCCUCCCUGCCUGUUUAUAAACACCACCACUUUCCCAUCUCCCAUAAAUGCCAUCUCCAGGAGAGGAGGUCCAACUACGUACAUCCUCACAAAGUUGCACCCGGGUCAGGAAAUGCCUGGCUGCACCGCAGCGAUUGCAGUCUCCGCAGUGACUGAUGCCCAGAGUUCGCUCAUGAAGUGCGGGGAGACACGAAGUAAUUACAUGAGGUGAGGCAUGAAUCAGAAUUAACUGAGGAGGAAGGAGGAGGAUGCCUGGAACUGACUCACUGAAGGGAGGAAAAAACUGCACAGAAAACUGACUCUCCAACAAUGCUAUCUGCCAAAGCCACUGUGACAGUAUAUUCUGUAGGAAAAGACACCCUGGGCCAAAAGACAACACAUCUGGGUUCUGGUGGCAGCAUCUUUACUGUCUUCAUCUGUUUUCUUAUUUCUGAAAUAUAGUGGUGAUUCCAGCGCCUUGUUGAAUCUGUGAAGGAACCUCUGGCUAUCCACUCUGUUUCUGGUUCUCCUUUGUAACUAACCCGCUCUCUCAAAUUGGUGGUAGUGAAGUCCAUUCACUUUGUGAAGGUCCAGUGAUCUGGAAGGAAGCCUGGAACUCCUUGUGGCCUGAAUGUACUCAUAACCUCUCCCCUUGUGAGUCCCUGCCACAGUGGCGACGGAGAAACCACCCUGCAGGUCACUAGAAGGUGUGCAAUUGCUCCCCACUACAGACUCCUAGAGAGACAGUAUUCACCAUCUUCCGAGGCAAAUAUUAAUUACAUUAUUCUUACUGAGGUCUGAAGAGAGUCUACAACUUGGGCCAGGUGUGGAGUGAGAGGUGGAGAGAAGAUUCAGACUCAAGAGUUUAACAUCAUCCUGACACUAAGAAAAUAUUGAAUAAAGAGCAGUUGGGUUGAAUUAAAUGUAGAUGAACAAAGGCUGCUGACCACCAACCAAUCUUCCCCCUCUGCCUGCUGACAUUUCCACCCCAGCCAUCACAAGACUGUCUUCAUAAUUUGCCUCUUCCACUUUCCCCUCCUAAGGAAAUGCUUGUCGUUAUGGGAAUCUGCCUGGUCCAAUGAACUGUAGUCAUUUGACCCCUAAAGAAAUUUGCAAGCAUUCUUUUCCUAGUGGCUUCUGUGCUUACUGGGGGCUAAUAGUUUUCCUUACUGUCUCUGCUUGCUCUUACUUCGUUCUUGUAUUUGGAGGUGUAGCCAAGGAUUCUUAAGAAAGGUAUAUAUGGAAUUUUUUUAUUGACCCCCUAGGACAACACUAUGGUAGCCUGGGUGUUUUCAUAUUAUUCAAGUAAGUUUAAUAAA
Molecule: long non-coding RNA, 1489 nt
Organism: Felis catus (domestic cat)
Lineage: Eukaryota; Metazoa; Chordata; Mammalia; Carnivora; Felidae
Exons: 7
Source: RefSeq, a predicted model, not a curated record